ACGACUUUCUUACUCUCACCGGCGGCAUGUCCAUCGGCAAUUUUGCUGAUGCAUCAAUUUCUUCGUUCGGUGAAUAAUCUCUGAAGGAUUCUGUUUCAUAAGCCAUAAGACCUUGUUUCUGCCGUCUAAGGCUACCUGAAAGAAUCGUAGCUAUCCGAUCGUCAUAAUCUUCCGAUGUAAUAUCUAAUUUUGGAUCAACGGCGACAUCAGGCUGAAUUAACUCUUCAUCCCUAUCUUCAGCGAAGAAGACAUCGAGGCUAUGAAGAGUUGUAACUAGCUCUCCUAGUGAAUUUUCGUCAAGCGAACCAUGACUGUCAGUAGGAACGUGUCGCGGAUAAUUGGAUACUUCAUCAGCAUGAAAUCUAACCUCUGGCGUACUCACAGAAGCCUCGGUAGUGGAA
Schizosaccharomyces pombe (fission yeast) is the source of this 401-nucleotide non-coding RNA. Lineage: Eukaryota; Fungi; Ascomycota; Schizosaccharomycetes; Schizosaccharomycetales; Schizosaccharomycetaceae. The record is from the annotation of a GenBank genome assembly.